AUUGAACGCUGGCGGCAGGCCUAACACAUGCAAGUCGAGCGGAUGAAGGGAGCUUGCUCCUGGAUUCAGCGGCGGACGGGUGAGUAAUGCCUAGGAAUCUGCCUGGUAGUGGGGGAUAACGUCCGGAAACGGGCGCUAAUACCGCAUACGUCCUGAGGGAGAAAGUGGGGGAUCUUCGGACCUCACGCUAUCAGAUGAGCCUAGGUCGGAUUAGCUAGUUGGUGGGGUAAAGGCCUACCAAGGCGACGAUCCGUAACUGGUCUGAGAGGAUGAUCAGUCACACUGGAACUGAGACACGGUCCAGACUCCUACGGGAGGCAGCAGUGGGGAAUAUUGGACAAUGGGCGAAAGCCUGAUCCAGCCAUGCCGCGUGUGUGAAGGAGGUCUUCGGAUGGUAAAGCACUUUAAGUUGGGAGGAAGGGCAGUAAGUUAAUACCUUGCUGUUUUGACGUUACCAACAGAAUAAGCACCGGCUAACUUCGU
This 483-nucleotide ribosomal RNA is filed under the name uncultured bacterium. RNAcentral's name for it is "partial 16S ribosomal RNA". It matches the Rfam family "Bacterial small subunit ribosomal RNA", at positions 30 to 506 of the family's 1533-position model. The record is from RNAcentral.